AGCUGACUCGCCUCCUUCGUCACUCUGCAGUUCUCCUCUUUAUCACCUGCUUGACUCCAGAUGCUUUUCUCUUCGUGGCCUCUGCUCAUUUCCGACCUCUCAGGCCUUGUGUCUGCCUCUUCUGUGCAUAUGCUCCUGGACUGAGCGCACUCUGUACUUCUUGUGUCAUUCCUCUGGGAAAUAAUCAAAGAAAAAGAUGUUGAUGAAAAAGGUAGUGCUUGAUUUGGGGGACUGGUUUUCACUGCUUGUCAUUUAUCUUAAAAAAAAAAGUGAAAUUCUUGCCUAAAGGCUUUAAAGGUGUCUCUGAAAUGUGUGCAGCUCUCUCAUUCAUGGAGGAAGGCAGCUAAUGUUUCUAUGUUCAUGGGCUACAAAAACGCAAAAUUAGACUUUUCGUUGUCACCUUUAUUUAAUAUAAUUGCAUUAGUUAAUGUAGAGAUUGACUUAAAGAUGCUAAAAUAUGCAUUUAGACUUUUUCAGGAGUGCUUAGGAUUUCUUUGCAGGAAGUCAUGAUAUCUAUAUGCAGGUGGGACUGUGAGCGUGUCAUUAGAAGUGUUGCUGGUUUGUUUUGGUUUUUAGAUUUGCAAAGAAAAACAGCCACGCACGUGCUGCCAUGUUUUAAGUAAAACAUGAGCAUGUGAGUGGUUUCCAGUCAGUUUGUUAUUUUUAAGUUUCUAUAAAUAUUUCUUUAGUUUUUCAACAUCCAGUCAGGUUCAGGUUAGUUUGUAUCCAUAGGUUUUUUUUAGACCUUUAUAAAAGUUGUUUUAUUUGCAAGUUCUACAAGUAACCCUAAAAAUGUAACUUGAAUAAGUUUCUGUUCUUUACAAAGUGUGACGACAAACGAAAGAACAAAACAGAUUCAAUAAAUGCAAAACAGAUAAGAUGCAGUUCUGUCAGCGUGGCUAUAAAAAGUGAUCAUUUUUAUAGAAGUAAUAACUCUUAAUGUAGUGAUAAACAUAAAAAAGCUCUUGUUAUGAGAGUAAUGUCUAAGUUCGUUUUUAUCAUGCUCAGC
Molecule: long non-coding RNA, 1009 nt
Organism: Astatotilapia calliptera (eastern happy)
Lineage: Eukaryota; Metazoa; Chordata; Actinopteri; Cichliformes; Cichlidae
Source: Ensembl